GAAAAAGUUUCCUAUCAGGUUUGCUCACCUUUGAAUUUUAAUUAUGAGGUGAUGCCUUAUUAUGACGGUUUACGAAUCUAUCAUGAUUAUGAUUAAUUUCUCUUCGCUCUUGUUAAAUGCAGUAGGUUUAUUUGUUGUUAAUCGAAAACGGAAAACAGACCUAACCCUCAAGCCUCAGAAACUGAAAGGUUAGAUCUACCAUGUUUUCACAACGAGCAAACCUUUGAUGGACAACUUUUUCAAAAAGCCAGGGUGCCACCAACACCUUGG
RNAcentral lists this small RNA (270 nucleotides) under Bacillus subtilis subsp. subtilis. RNAcentral's name for it is "BsrG". It matches the Rfam family "BsrG". Rfam says of the family: bsrE, bsrG and bsrH pair through intermolecular interactions with antisense sRNAs. SR4 interaction with the 3'UTR of bsrG RNA promotes bsrG degradation and inhibits its translation. SR5 also overlaps bsrG from nucleotide 163 to 52 (Rfam overlap check). The record is from RNAcentral. Lineage: Bacteria; Bacillati; Bacillota; Bacilli; Caryophanales; Bacillaceae.